UAUGUGCAAGAAACCUCAGCUGCCGCAUAUACACCCUAUUUAAGAACGGAGAGAGGGGGAGAGAGAUCAGUAGCCUAUUUAAGCGAAACCCAAGUAGCCUCCUACGCCUUCCUCAUCGACUCGCCCUCCUUCCCCUUUCCUCCUCUCCUCUCCUCUCCCGCCCCUUUUUCUUUUUCUUCUCUCUCACUCCCCUAGAAUCGAAUUCAAGACAUCUUGGAGGACGAACCCUAAACCUAAGGCGCUGAAGGUGGAUUGCCCGGCCAAGGAGCCGAUGAAGGCGAUGGUUUCUGGGGCUCCUGCGGCGGGGAAAGGCACUCAGUGUCAGAUGAUCGUCGAGGAGUAUGGAUUGGUGCACAUAUCAACAGGAGAUCUAUGUAAGAGAGAAAGGAUGGCUACUUGAUGUGUACCCCAGGAGUUCUUCACAUUCACAAAGUCUUGAAAGGAUCAAAAUAAGACCAGGCAUAUACAUUGUGCUAGAUGUUCCUGAUAAAAUUCAAACCAACAGAUGUGUUGGAAGGAGGCUGGAUUCAGUGACUGGCAAAAUGUACCAUCUUAAAACUUUCCUCCAGAAACAGAGGAAGUUUCUACAUGGCUUAUAUAUCCUAGAAGCCGCCUCGUCCUUGAACCCCAAAUGCCCAACAGGAUACUCAACCAACACUUUGUCAUCAGAUAAAGCUUUUACAGCUGCGUCAUGAUAGCAGGAACCCCACUUUGCUGUUUGAAUCCCUGUCAUCACAGCCGCAGCUCGACAGUAAAUCGAAUCAAGGUUAGGGACCUUAUGGUUCAAAUACCAAGAAAACGAAUCGCAAUCAGCAUUAUCAGCCCAGGUAGACGACACGAGGAAAGGAUAAAUAACAAAACAGUGGGGUAAAGUAUUGAGAUGUCCAAACAAGGUUCUCAUGCUUAAAUGGCCAAAGGCUGGAGGUCAUUAAAGGAGAUAAUAUACUCAUGAAAAGAUUUGUUGAUGUAGCUGCCACGAUUUGUCAACAAGGAAAACAACCAAAAUGGAAAAGCGGUAAAAUGUCCAGCCCAACCCAGAGUUCAAAAUUGUAGAUGUGCUUCAUCAAGAUAACAACCAUAAUUUUAUGUGGUAGAAUUAUAGUUGUUAUGGUUCUUCCAUGUCUUAACUACCUGUAACAGCAACAGCAUUACCAUGACAACUGAUUGCCUGUCAGAAUAAGUUGUAUUUUAUGAGACAUGGUGGCUGCUCACACUAAUCAUGUUUUCAUGGAAGGGUAGAUAUUUUGACAUAAGAUCACUCAUGUUGGAACUCUACUCAAUUUCAACUCUUCUAUCAUAAUGUCUUAUUUUAUACGAUGAUAGUAAGUACUACAUGCUGCAUCCUUGCUGGUCAUAGGCCAGCAUAAUACAAAACUAUGUUGUGUCAUGCCAUGCUAUGCUGCUCAUGUGCUUGCCCUCAUUUCCAGGGCUCAACUAAGAAAAAUGAGUCUGCCAUUCUGUGUUAAUCUAUGCUGGCCUGUCCAGCUGGUACAGACUAAUACAGAUAGGCAGCAUGGCCUAUGCAGCUAGUACAGAUGAUAUAGAUAGACUGGUAAGCAUGAUAUCAUGGCAUAUUCACCCUGUACCUUGCCUAUAUAUUACAAGGAAGGUGUGCAUGUUAUGGCGUUGACUGGCAUGACACUGCACCUAAUUCACGGCGACACCAGUACCGGUAUGGUGCGGUAUGCUCAGUACUGGUAUGGUAUGCUACACUCCAUACCAUAACGAAUGGUGUUCCUUGAUUUAGACUUUUUCCUUUUGGAUCUAGAAUGCCAUGUCUGACUAUUGUUUCUUACAUAUGGCUAGGUCAAAUCUAGUCUUAGAAACAUAUAAAUGAAAUGCUGAAGCUAUCUUGCCAAUAUAUUUGGACUUGUUAAGCAAGGUGAUUGCAUACUCUGCAUCACGUUUAAUUUCACAAGAAUUUGAAGAAAUGAUUCUUAUUUAUUUUUA
Molecule: non-coding RNA, 1950 nt
Organism: Phoenix dactylifera (date palm)
Lineage: Eukaryota; Viridiplantae; Streptophyta; Magnoliopsida; Arecales; Arecaceae
Source: RefSeq, a predicted model, not a curated record